RNAcentral lists this unclassified non-coding RNA (205 nucleotides) under uncultured Trechisporales. RNAcentral's name for it is "sequence contains ITS2". Lineage: Eukaryota; Fungi; Basidiomycota; Agaricomycetes; Trechisporales. The record is from RNAcentral.
AGUCAUCGACCCGAACCGUUUCUUGCGAGCGGCGAAGGGCCGGAUGUGGGGCGUGCUGCCGAGAGGCUGCUCCCCUCAAAUGCGUCGGUCGGACCUGCGGUUCGGACUCGAUUGGGCGUUGUACCAACCUCGCUCUCCCGAGACGUUCCCUCUCGUGUCCCUCCUUGACCUGCCUAUGGAGUGGCGGUCAAAUGCAAACUUUGAA